RNAcentral lists this ribosomal RNA (300 nucleotides) under uncultured Pyrobaculum sp. RNAcentral's name for it is "bacterial SSU rRNA". It matches the Rfam family "Bacterial small subunit ribosomal RNA", at positions 496 to 795 of the family's 1533-position model. The record is from RNAcentral. Lineage: Archaea; Thermoproteati; Thermoproteota; Thermoprotei; Thermoproteales; Thermoproteaceae.
GCAAAUGACGGGCGAGCUGCGGCGGGAAUACGUAGGGGGCGGGGGUUAAUCGGAAUGACUGGGCGUAAAGCGUGCGCAGGCGGUUUUGUAAGACAGGCGUGAAAGCCCCGGGCUUAACCUGGGAACUGCGGUUGUGACUGCAAGACUAGAGUACGGCAGAGGGGGGUGGAAUUCCACGUGUAGCAGUGAAAUGCGUAGAGAUGUGGAGGAACACCAAUGGCGAAGGCAGCCCCCUGGGUCGAUACUGACGCUCAUGCACGAAAGCGUGGGUAGCAAACAGGAUUAGAUACCCGUGUAGUC